ACGGCCGUACCAUGCUGAAAACAGCAGUUCUCAUCCGAUCGCCAAAGUUAAGCAUCAUUGGGCGCGGUCAGUACUUGGGAGGGUGACCACCUGGGAACACAGCGUGCUGUUG
RNAcentral lists this ribosomal RNA (112 nucleotides) under Trichonephila clavata. Lineage: Eukaryota; Metazoa; Arthropoda; Arachnida; Araneae; Nephilidae. The record is from RNAcentral.